RNAcentral lists this non-coding RNA (244 nucleotides) under Kurthia sp. RNAcentral's name for it is "T-box sequence". It matches the Rfam family "T-box leader". Rfam says of the family: Uncharged tRNA acts as the effector for transcription antitermination of genes in the T-box leader family. T-boxes are found upstream of many aminoacyl-tRNA synthetase genes and some amino acid biosynthetic genes usually in Gram-positive bacteria. The anticodon of a specific tRNA base pairs to a specifier sequence within the T-box motif, and the NCCA acceptor tail of the tRNA base pairs to a conserved bulge in the T-box antiterminator hairpin. Lineage: Bacteria; Bacillati; Bacillota; Bacilli; Caryophanales; Caryophanaceae. The record is from RNAcentral.
AUAUCACCUAUGACCGAGCAAGUAGUCAACUCUAUAGACUGUUUUAGAGAGAAAAAGACGUGGCUGAAAUCUUUUUCAAUAGUACGAGUAGAUGAAUAACACUCGAGAGGUUUCUUUUCGAAAUGAGCAAUCAUAGUAGGGGAGAACGGAGUCGGCCGUUAUCCGAAUUUGAGAGGAUUUAUGCGAUUUUGUAUAAAUCAACUAGGGUGGAACCGCGGAAGCUUAUACAGCUCUCGUCCCUUGC